RNAcentral lists this long non-coding RNA (7515 nucleotides) under Marmota monax (woodchuck). The record is from RNAcentral. Lineage: Eukaryota; Metazoa; Chordata; Mammalia; Rodentia; Sciuridae.
AAAACAUGGGCUGGCUUCAAAGUGGAGCAUGGGGAGGCUGAGAACCGUUCUGCUUUGUGAACAAAGUCAGGUGAAAGGCACAGAGAGAACAUGAGAGUGAGGCAGGGAGAGAGUCAGCACUUGCUAAUUUGAAGUUAAUUUUGAAUUGCCUUGAAAAUCACCACGAAGCAUCCAGUUCUGCCUUUGAUGGUCGAAAGAAAGCAGCUGCUUUUAUUCCUCUUCAGGACUUGUUUUCCCCCCAGCAGUGAGGCAAAUUAGGCUGAGCAGCAGUGGAAGUUGCAGUCAGUAUAAUUUCCCAGGAAAAGGUCAGGCUAAUUGUUGGUGAGGAGCUAAUGGAGAUGGGGCACACUAUGGGUGGUGCCGUUUCCCCCAUCUGUUCCAUCCUGCUCCCGGUAAUGGCUCUUUGGCAUCCUCAAAGAGCCAACUCGGCUGGCUUUGUUACAAACUGAGGCCCCUUGCCCUAACCACCAGUGCUCAGCAUGUAGGGGGACACGAGGCAGGGGAGAUAGGUUCUCUUUGUCCACGUAGGGCAACAGGAGCAGCAAAUGUUGACACAUUCAGCAAGAUUCCCUGUGACGCUGCUGUUUAUUUGCAACUUGAGCAGCUCAGGUGAUGGCCCAGGAGGAAAGCCUCGCUUAUUUCGGCUGCCUUCUUUUGGUCAACAACUCAGUUGUAAAAAUCAACAUCAUGGCGGCUUCCUUGAAGGUUAGUGCACACCUAUCUCAUAUGCACCUCGGCAUCAAACAUAAACCGCUAUUUGGGAAGCUGGCCUGUGCUGUUCGCAGCCUUUGUAGAGCUGUUUUGAAUGUGCAACAUGCUGCCGGGAUGUCCCCUGCCCCAGAGAAGGGACAGGGAGGGGAUUGAUCCCGUGAUGGGUGGAAGAUGGAAAAAGUGUCAUUUCAAAAUCCCCAGUGGUUCCUCUCUUGACAGAGGUACAGAAUUUCAUCUGUAGGGCAGACUUGUCCUUAUGCUGUUGAGAUCACCCUUGGGUUCAGGAAGUAAGUUGGCGCCUACUGUUUUGGGAAGCUGAGAAGUAACUGAAUCAGAUAUUUUAGAUGAGCGCGAGGGAGAUUAGCUUGUGACAGAUGUUUAUGCCACAGCUGGGUCAUUCCUUUCUGUUUCCACCUCUUCCUUCCUUUCUUCCUGGCCUUUGACUACGCUUCACUCAGAAUUCAGAUUCUACCCGAUCCUUCCUAGGAAUGAUGUGGCUUUCUUUCCUCCUCCAAAUGGAGGCCUGGCAGAGUCAACUUAGCUCAGACUCGGCCACCUGGAUUCUGUUUAUGGAUUUAUAUGAUCUCUGGCCUUCGCAUAGUGACCACUGGAUGAGUAGACCUGGACCUCUUCCAGGGGUCCACUUGAGCCAAAGUCGGGGAUAUAAUGUGUCUCUGCAUGUUUUAUGAUAGUGCUCUUGACUCUCUUACAUCUGGGCAGGAAUAUGAGCAGAGGUUAUUGGAAAGAGGGUGACAUUGGUAUCUGCUGGGCUGAUAUGAUGGGCAACAGCCCUGGCACCCCGGGCAGGGAAACCUCAGACCUGCACUUGUCCUUAGAGGUCUGGGAUAGUGGAACAUGAAUGAGAUUUUUCUUUCUGAACCAUUCUUGGAGACUUCAUCACAGAAGACACUUCCCUAGUAUGGUUCUCCCAGACCUUUGAGUGCCUUCCAUUAACUGGCUGCUGGGCCUAUCCGUCCCCUGCAGCUGGCUCUGAUGGUGAUUUGGUCCCCAUUUCCCAUGUCCCUUGUCCUGCACUUCCCAAGCAAGGCACCUGUUAACAGGUGUCUGGACAUCUGCCCCACCCCUAUUCUUAGUGUCUUUACCCAAUCACUCCUUGAGGUGGGUGAGUGUCACCUGACGAGGGGUGUGGACUGUCAGAACUGGUUGGAUAGACACCCUGGGGGAGGCUCCAGAAACUAGGGCUGCACUCCAUGCUAUGCCAGCUGAAACUCUGACAGCUCGUCCGGCCACCCCUGAGAGACUCCACUGAAGGCAGCCAACCUAUGCCCCCCACUGAUGUGGCUCCCACUUGGGGGUCCCCAAUAAUUCUAAAUAAUAACCUUCUUUUUAGGGUCACCAUGUGUACCCCUGGGACUCCACUUCUUUUGUGGAAGCCAGACAUUAACUUGUCUCCUGGCCUGAUCCUUAGAAGUCGUCCCAAGAGACCUGCAAGUGCUUAAGCAAGCAGCCCUGGAAGGUGAUCAUAGUUACCCUGGGAGCUUCCCACAGGGGCAACUAUUGCUGUGUACUCUGUGGACCGUUUUCUCUAUAAUGGGAGUCCUCCUACAAGAAAGGGGACUUUGAAUUUGUCCCCAUUUGGCCUUAGGUCCUAGAAGGCAGUCAUGUCAGCCUGGACUCACUGGUCAGUACUGUCACAGUUGAUGGAAUGUCCCGAGUCUUUUUCCUUGCAGGCCAACGNUGGAACAAUGAGGGAAAUCUCGUUACGGGUCUACCGGCCUGGGGCGAGCAGAAACAAAGAUGAGGUUGGAAAUAUUUUUAACAUGUGUGUUUUCUUGGGUCAUUAAAAGAGAAAAACAAGUUCCAACACUGUUUGAAGGAAACCAUCAUCCAAUUUACAAGUACUUAUUGGGUUCUGGCUGUGGCCAGAAGGACUUGGGCGUGGCUUUGGAGCCACUGGGAUGUGGUAAGGUCCCUUUUGUCAGGGACUGACAUCUAAGAAGGGAGAUAGUGCAGAGGAAAGGGGGCCUGGGGACCACGGCCAUGGGGAUCCCAUGCUGCCUCAGUUUCUGUGCUAGGGGGGCUUAUUUAUUCGAGCUCCUGACAAAGAGACAGCAGGCCUGGGAUGCCUUGAACCAAGGGCCUGGGUGGGUGUUGAGGGCAGAAUUCCUAGACAGGGAGCAGUGGGCUCCAUGGAGCCCUGGAGGUGAGAACAGUCUUCCUGCAGAUGACGGACUUGGAAUGGAUCCCAGCGAAACUGCGGGCUUUAAACGAGCAGCAGCGGAAUAAUGGGCCAUCUCAUCCAUGUCUUCAGCAGCCUCUGUUUCUCUGUCCUUCUUGUCUCCCCACCAUUUCCCUCCCCAGCUGGGGAGCACGCAGGAAUGCCUUGCUGUGCCCCGUCAGCGCCCUACCUAGCUGAUGUGUGAUUAUCUCCAGCAAAACACACACCAGAGCCGGUGUCUCUUGGCUGGGAAACACGUUGGCACCUUGGAACUGCUUCUUGGAAAAAGCACACAGUUGGUGUGUGACCUUCUCAUUGAUGCCUCUGGAGGAGGCGGGAGCCACUGCCCAGAGGGAUGCCGGGGUGAAGUGGAAAAACAUGGGCUGGCUUCAAAGUGGAGCAUGGGGAGGCUGAGAACCGUUCUGCUUUGUGAACAAAGUCAGGUGAAAGGCACAGAGAGAACAUGAGAGUGAGGCAGGGAGAGAGUCAGCACUUGCUAAUUUGAAGUUAAUUUUGAAUUGCCUUGAAAAUCACCACGAAGCAUCCAGUUCUGCCUUUGAUGGUCGAAAGAAAGCAGCUGCUUUUAUUCCUCUUCAGGACUUGUUUUCCCCCCAGCAGUGAGGCAAAUUAGGCUGAGCAGCAGUGGAAGUUGCAGUCAGUAUAAUUUCCCAGGAAAAGGUCAGGCUAAUUGUUGGUGAGGAGCUAAUGGAGAUGGGGCACACUAUGGGUGGUGCCGUUUCCCCCAUCUGUUCCAUCCUGCUCCCGGUAAUGGCUCUUUGGCAUCCUCAAAGAGCCAACUCGGCUGGCUUUGUUACAAACUGAGGCCCCUUGCCCUAACCACCAGUGCUCAGCAUGUAGGGGGACACGAGGCAGGGGAGAUAGGUUCUCUUUGUCCACGUAGGGCAACAGGAGCAGCAAAUGUUGACACAUUCAGCAAGAUUCCCUGUGACGCUGCUGUUUAUUUGCAACUUGAGCAGCUCAGGUGAUGGCCCAGGAGGAAAGCCUCGCUUAUUUCGGCUGCCUUCUUUUGGUCAACAACUCAGUUGUAAAAAUCAACAUCAUGGCGGCUUCCUUGAAGGUUAGUGCACACCUAUCUCAUAUGCACCUCGGCAUCAAACAUAAACCGCUAUUUGGGAAGCUGGCCUGUGCUGUUCGCAGCCUUUGUAGAGCUGUUUUGAAUGUGCAACAUGCUGCCGGGAUGUCCCCUGCCCCAGAGAAGGGACAGGGAGGGGAUUGAUCCCGUGAUGGGUGGAAGAUGGAAAAAGUGUCAUUUCAAAAUCCCCAGUGGUUCCUCUCUUGACAGAGGUACAGAAUUUCAUCUGUAGGGCAGACUUGUCCUUAUGCUGUUGAGAUCACCCUUGGGUUCAGGAAGUAAGUUGGCGCCUACUGUUUUGGGAAGCUGAGAAGUAACUGAAUCAGAUAUUUUAGAUGAGCGCGAGGGAGAUUAGCUUGUGACAGAUGUUUAUGCCACAGCUGGGUCAUUCCUUUCUGUUUCCACCUCUUCCUUCCUUUCUUCCUGGCCUUUGACUACGCUUCACUCAGAAUUCAGAUUCUACCCGAUCCUUCCUAGGAAUGAUGUGGCUUUCUUUCCUCCUCCAAAUGGAGGCCUGGCAGAGUCAACUUAGCUCAGACUCGGCCACCUGGAUUCUGUUUAUGGAUUUAUAUGAUCUCUGGCCUUCGCAUAGUGACCACUGGAUGAGUAGACCUGGACCUCUUCCAGGGGUCCACUUGAGCCAAAGUCGGGGAUAUAAUGUGUCUCUGCAUGUUUUAUGAUAGUGCUCUUGACUCUCUUACAUCUGGGCAGGAAUAUGAGCAGAGGUUAUUGGAAAGAGGGUGACAUUGGUAUCUGCUGGGCUGAUAUGAUGGGCAACAGCCCUGGCACCCCGGGCAGGGAAACCUCAGACCUGCACUUGUCCUUAGAGGUCUGGGAUAGUGGAACAUGAAUGAGAUUUUUCUUUCUGAACCAUUCUUGGAGACUUCAUCACAGAAGACACUUCCCUAGUAUGGUUCUCCCAGACCUUUGAGUGCCUUCCAUUAACUGGCUGCUGGGCCUAUCCGUCCCCUGCAGCUGGCUCUGAUGGUGAUUUGGUCCCCAUUUCCCAUGUCCCUUGUCCUGCACUUCCCAAGCAAGGCACCUGUUAACAGGUGUCUGGACAUCUGCCCCACCCCUAUUCUUAGUGUCUUUACCCAAUCACUCCUUGAGGUGGGUGAGUGUCACCUGACGAGGGGUGUGGACUGUCAGAACUGGUUGGAUAGACACCCUGGGGGAGGCUCCAGAAACUAGGGCUGCACUCCAUGCUAUGCCAGCUGAAACUCUGACAGCUCGUCCGGCCACCCCUGAGAGACUCCACUGAAGGCAGCCAACCUAUGCCCCCCACUGAUGUGGCUCCCACUUGGGGGUCCCCAAUAAUUCUAAAUAAUAACCUUCUUUUUAGGGUCACCAUGUGUACCCCUGGGACUCCACUUCUUUUGUGGAAGCCAGACAUUAACUUGUCUCCUGGCCUGAUCCUUAGAAGUCGUCCCAAGAGACCUGCAAGUGCUUAAGCAAGCAGCCCUGGAAGGUGAUCAUAGUUACCCUGGGAGCUUCCCACAGGGGCAACUAUUGCUGUGUACUCUGUGGACCGUUUUCUCUAUAAUGGGAGUCCUCCUACAAGAAAGGGGACUUUGAAUUUGUCCCCAUUUGGCCUUAGGUCCUAGAAGGCAGUCAUGUCAGCCUGGACUCACUGGUCAGUACUGUCACAGUUGAUGGAAUGUCCCGAGUCUUUUUCCUUGCAGGCCAACGUGGAGCCUGUGCAAUCCCUACUUCUCUGCUUGGAUCCCUGCCUGGGUCCAAGUGGAAAAGUGAGUCCAGUGACAGAAGGAGGACUCUACUUUGCUCCUUUAAGAUAGACCCUGAGUGCAUGUGCCUUCCAUUUAGAUGACUGGGCCUAUGACGCUCUGAGGGUGUGGCUGGAGUCCUGUUGGCCGAGGCCUUAAUUAAAUGCUGGAGGAGAAUAACUGAACAGGUUUGGUCCCACCCUCUUUUGGUCAAAUUAGAGUGGCUUAUCAAGUAGAAUUACUCAAAGGGAGACUUUGCCAGAAGCUAAGACUGUAAAAAUGAGGAGUGGAUAUUGUUGGGAGACAAUUCUGCAUGGGUCUUUUGAAUUUCUGCAUGUUUUUGGAGCAGAGGCAUGGACAGCCUUUGUUCCAGAUGAUCUUUUCAAGGAUGUUGUAUUACAAACAACCUUGGCAGAUAGUGUCUCUCAUCAGAGCCAAGGGCAGGCAGGCUUAGUGUUCAUUUGAAAAGAUUUACCUUCCCUACGUGGGGGGGGGGGUCUCUCUCCUGUGAUGCAACCCCCUGUGCAGGUGUCAUCUGGCCCUGAUUGUGUUGUCUUAUGAAAUUUGGGGCUUAGGGAACCAAUACAAGAAAAUGCUGCUACUCUGGCCCUGCUACUUCUAUGAGCAAUGAACUCCUUUGUCUCUGACCCGGGAGCCUUGUAUCUUCUGCCAGAUGAACACCUCUGCUCUGACCCGGGAGCCUUAUAUCUUGCGCCAGCUUCUAUGCAACUGCAGCAAGCUCAUUGUUAGUUUGAAAUAGGAUGAUAUCUCAAAUACCUCACAGGUCCAGGCUGUGUCUGGCUUGGGCCACCCUGAAUGUACUGUGUAUGUGGACAUUAUCUAUUGUGGGCAUCCCAGGAAGAUAAAAACAGAGAACCACAGCCUCAAGUUGUGCUAGCCUGAACUGGGUGGCAUGGGGCAGUCACCAUCUGGCUCUUCCCCUGCUCAGUGCAUGCAGUCAACCCUACAUAAAGCUCUGGAAGGUUGGCUGGAGAGGGCUGGGGGCAGCCUCUGGGGUCCAACCGUGUGAAUUUCUACCACAAUUCUCCACGUGUCAUAGUCUCUGUUUUCCCAUCUGUCAAGCAGGGAUAACAGCAGCACUCGCUUCUGAGUGGUUUUGUGGGGACAAAUAGUUGAGUUGGCACAAACAAGCCCUGAUAAAAGUUGUGAUUAUCAUUUCCUCAAUGACCUCACCGCUCCUACUUUGACUUAUUCUUUGUACGGCUGUCUCCCCCUCUUAACAUCCUGUCUAUAAUCUAAGUUUAUCUCUUCUCCUCUGAAAUUGGCCAAUUUACAUGGCACCCCUCACCACGGUCUCUGAAUGUGCCUGUAAUCUAAUUAGACUAAUUUCAAUUUCCUGGAUUUAAUUACUUUUAAUUCAAUUAAUUUAGAAUGCAGUACACAAGGUGAUUAAUUAGGAAACAUUACUGAGAGAUUCGGAAGGUGAAUUGCAGUGUGUAAGUGUUUAAGUAUCAUUGUGGCCACAGCCACCCAUUGUCACUUUGCACAGGAGACCACCAAGACCCUGGGAAGGGCAGAGUUGGAGAAGCCGGCAGGAAAGGGACUCAAACGGAAGCCUCCUGGCACCAAGCACAGAGCCCUUUCAUCGUGUGGCUUCCAGCAUCUCUCAGGGGAGGCAAAAAGGAGCAGUUGAUUCCAGUUACAAGCAAGUCGGAACUGAGGCAUGAACUGUGGGAGGUGAGGACAAAAUUUGUCUUUCAACAGAGUGAUAUUUCACAGUGUGCUUUUUCUGUACAUGGUAUGUAAGCCAACCUUAGUGCUCCCUCUGAGCUACCAUGCAUAUCCCU